This 1878-nucleotide long non-coding RNA is filed under the name Oncorhynchus mykiss (rainbow trout). RNAcentral's name for it is "lncRNA (ENSOMYG00000050681.1)". Lineage: Eukaryota; Metazoa; Chordata; Actinopteri; Salmoniformes; Salmonidae. The record is from RNAcentral.
UGCUGGCACAAAGGUACUAUAUCUAAAGGUAUCUUAAUUCUACAGCACAACAAAUUAUUAUUCAUUUAUGAAUAAUAGGAUAUAGACAGAGACAGCUUAGCUUUCCGGUGUGGUUAUCAUAGUGUGGACUCGACUGUCUUUCACAAAGGUAAACCAGAUCCUUGCUUUGCUUUAACAAUGAGUUAGUAUUUAAUAUGUGUAAAAUAUUUUGUUGCAUUCAUCCAAACUCCACAGAGACAAUGAUACACAGAUGUUUCUCGCCCUCACUCCCCUCCCUCACUCACCGUCAUGGUCAGCAUCACAUCAUGUACAGGUGAGUACUACUGUAACACUGUGACGGUGUAGCAGAGUAGGGGCCAUUUUAGGACAACUCCCACCGUGACUACCUCCCCCUAUCCACCUCCACCAUGCUGCCAUCCCAAGCUCCUAUGGGCACACUAGUCAUAUCCAAUCAGACAGCCAUAGGAAGCUGACACAUACACACACACACACACACACACACAAAGCUCACAAAGCUCACAAACCGUAUCUGUGAGGUACUGGCAUAUCAAAAGGAGAGGAGCGUGAAAGAGGAAGACAGCUUUGUGCUCUCAAAACAGAACGCGGAGACUGAAACAUGGCAGAGGAGGUAUCAGGCAGUUGUAACAAAGAGCCACAGCAAAGACAGCUGGCUAAGAGCACAUUCCAAAUGGGCGUAGAUGUGAUGCAGGAAAUCCCACUCCCUUUCCCAGAGGACCUCCUGUAUGAGUAAAACACACACACAGUCAUAGAGACAGACACAAACGCUUACACUGAUGAGUUGAUGACAAGCUUCUCAUGGGAAAAAAACAUUGACUCCCCUCUUCUUGUUUAUCCAAACUGUAAAUCUAUGUCACUUAAACAAGCAAACAAGUUCAGUAUUCCCAGGUUUUUACUGACAGGAAUAUAAUAUGUAAAUUAAUGCACAGAUGAAAUCAAAAAUGAGGGGGAGGGGGAUCAUAUCUCUUCAAACUCAAUGGAAUUGAUAUGUCAAAAUGACUCACUGUUAGUCCACAGGUCCACUCAAAUGUAGAUUACUUGAGAACAGUGACUGAGACUGUAGUGUGAGGAUGCAUUCACUAGGUGGCGGUAUUCAAUUCACAAAAUGCAAGAGAGGCUCCAAGUAUUCUUUUUUGGCCCCCCAAAGCUUUUGGUCAAAACAAAUAAGACUGUAAAAUCACAAGGAAUUCACCUAAAAAUGAGUUAAAUUUAGGACAUCUGUUCCCAAUAAACAUUGAUCGUGUCUCAAUGUAAUUCAAGGUAUAAAAUUAUUCUUAUUUUAAAAUACAAUCUCUUUUUAGACUUAGUUGUGGUCCAUUUGCAGUGUAACAGUUAUUAGAAUUAUGUUCUGGCCCCCAGUCUAUCUGCUCUGGCAAAAAAAUUGGCCCACAGCUGAAUCUAUUGUAGUUACCACCGCCUUAGGGCCUAGCCCUAGGUCCAGCUGUUCCUGAGCUCAAACACAGUGUUUACUGGCUUGUGUGAUAAAGCAAUCAUAGGUGUGAAAGGAUUUCAUUAUUUUUAAUUCUACCAGUCCUAACAAAAGUAUGAUUAGAAAAUAUUUGUUGGUCAUUAUGUAAACUGGAUAUAGUUUUCCUCAACAGAUGUGUCUUAAUAUGAGCCUUUUCAGUGAGACUAACCCAUUCAACCAAACCAUUCAACUACAGAAUUGAAAUAAAACAUUAACAUUUGCAGCCCUCAUGACACUCUGCCGUGCAGUUAGACAAUGGAGGUUGCUCUGUGAGAUGCUAUCUGAUGGAGCCUAGCAGCUAGCUACAGCAUGUGUUAUUCCUUAUCAAACAAACGGACAUGUUGACAAUCCCUGAGGAGGUCAUAAGAAUGAAAACUGGAUUCCUUCUUCAC